This 426-nucleotide ribosomal RNA is filed under the name uncultured cyanobacterium. RNAcentral's name for it is "bacterial SSU rRNA". It matches the Rfam family "Bacterial small subunit ribosomal RNA", at positions 356 to 795 of the family's 1533-position model. Lineage: Bacteria; Bacillati; Cyanobacteriota. The record is from RNAcentral.
GGGGAAUUUUCCGCAAUGGGCGAAAGCCUGACGGAGCGACACAGCGUGGUGGAUGAAGUCCGUUAGGACGUAAACACCUUUUAUGAAGGAAGAAGUAUAUUGACAUUACUUCAUGAAUAAGGGGCUCCCAACUCUGUGCCAGCAGGAGCGGUAAUACAGAGGCCCCAAGCGUUACCCGGAAUCAUUGGGCGUAAAGGAUGCGUAGGUGGUUAUAUUAGUCUGAUGUUAAAACUCUGGGCUCAACCCAGAGAUCGCAUUGGAAACGGUAUAACUAGAGGAAAUGAGAGGUGUGUGGAACUCAAGGUGUAGGGGUGAAAUCCGUUGAUAUCUUGGGGAACACCAAAAGCGAAGGCAACACACUGGCAUUUUCCUGACACUGAGGCAUGAAAGCGUAGGUAGCGAAUGGGAUUAGAUACCCCAGUAGUC